Molecule: unclassified non-coding RNA, 148 nt
Organism: Callithrix jacchus (white-tufted-ear marmoset)
Lineage: Eukaryota; Metazoa; Chordata; Mammalia; Primates; Cebidae
Rfam family: Metazoan signal recognition particle RNA
About the family: The signal recognition particle (SRP) is a universally conserved ribonucleoprotein. It is involved in the co-translational targeting of proteins to membranes.
Source: Ensembl
GCUGAGCAUGGUGGUGCAUGCCUGUAAUCCCAGCUACUCAGGAGGCUGAGGCAGGAGAAUUGCUUGAACCCAGGAGGCGGAGGUUGCAGUGAGCCAAGAUCACGCCACUGCACUCCAGCCUGGGUAACAGAGUGAGACUCUGUCUCAA